GCGGGAUAUGUCAGUCGGGCAGUUCAUUCACAUAUUAAGUGGUCGGCUUCAUCUUUCUCCCGGGAAAGCACUCUUUGUGUUUGUCAAGAAUACGUUACCACAAACAGCUAGUCUCAUGGAUUCCAUAUACGAGUCUUACAAAGAUGCUGAUGGAUUCCUGUAUAUGUGCUACAGCAGUGAGAAGACAUUUGGAUGAGCUGUAACUAUUUAUGAAAUAAACAGAGUUGUGUAAACCUAGAAGACUUGAACAACACAUUUUCUGUGGAACUGC
RNAcentral lists this unclassified non-coding RNA (271 nucleotides) under Hevea brasiliensis (rubber tree). The record is from RNAcentral. Lineage: Eukaryota; Viridiplantae; Streptophyta; Magnoliopsida; Malpighiales; Euphorbiaceae.